GACGAACGCUGGCGGCGUGCUUAACACAUGCAAGUCGUACGGAAAGGCCCUGCUUUUGUGGGGUGCUCGAGUGGCGAACGGGUGAGUAACACGUGAGUAACCUGCCCUUGACUUUGGGAUAACUUCAGGAAACUGGGGCUAAUACCGGAUAGGAGCUCCUGCUGCAUGGUGGGGGUUGGAAAGUUUCGGCGGUUGGGGAUGGACUCGCGGCUUAUCAGCUUGUUGGUGGGGUAGUGGCUUACCAAGGGUUUGACGGGUAGCCGGCCUGAGAGGGUGACCGGCCACAUUGGGACUGAGAUACGGCCCAGACUCCUACGGGAGGCAGCAGUGGGGAAUAUUGCACAAUGGGCGGAAGCCUGAUGCAGCAACGCCGCGUGCGGGAUGACGGCCUUCGGGUUGUAAACCGCUUUCGCCUGUGACGAAGCGUGAGUGACGGUAAUGGGUAAAGAAGCACCGGCUAACUACGUG
RNAcentral lists this ribosomal RNA (468 nucleotides) under uncultured bacterium. RNAcentral describes it as "partial 16S ribosomal RNA". It matches the Rfam family "Bacterial small subunit ribosomal RNA", at positions 28 to 507 of the family's 1533-position model. The record is from RNAcentral.